CUACGGGGUGCACCAGUGGGGAAUUUUGGACAAUGGGCGCAAGCCUGAUCCAGCCAUUCCGCGUGAGUGAAGAAGGCCUUCGGGUUGUAAAGCUCUUUCGCAAGGGAAGAAAACUUAUCCUCUAACGUAGGGUGAGGUUGACGGUACCUUGAUAAGAAGCACCGGCUAACUACGUGCCAGCAGCCGCGGUAAUACGUAGGGUGCGGGCGUUAAUCGGAAUUACUGGGCGUAAAGCGUGCGCAGGCUGUUUUGUAAGUCAGAUGUGAAAUCCCCGAGCUCAACUUGGGAACUGCGUUUGAAACUACAAGACUAGAAUAUGUCAGAGGGGGGUAGAAUUCCAUGUGUAGCAGUGAAAUGCGUAGAGAUGUGGAGGAAUACCAAUGGCGAAGGCAGCCCCCUGGGAUAAUAUUGACGCUCAUGCACGAAAGCGUGGGGAGCAAACAGGAUUAGAUACCCUCGUAGUC
This 464-nucleotide ribosomal RNA is filed under the name uncultured bacterium. Its description in RNAcentral is "partial 16S ribosomal RNA". It matches the Rfam family "Bacterial small subunit ribosomal RNA", at positions 339 to 795 of the family's 1533-position model. The record is from RNAcentral.